Lolium perenne is the source of this 1298-nucleotide long non-coding RNA. RefSeq lists it as uncharacterized. The record is from RefSeq and is a predicted model, not a curated record. Lineage: Eukaryota; Viridiplantae; Streptophyta; Magnoliopsida; Poales; Poaceae.
AGCCCGUCUAGCGUCAACUGGAGUAAUCAACGACCAAUCCUUGCGAGAGAUGCUUGUCGAUGUCAGCCUAGGGCUAAGCCACCGCCGCCGUCCUCAUCGCCGAGACGCCGGUCGGCACCUGGCUAUGUCUAUGUGGUGGCUCAACCCUCUCCUCCGUCUCCACAACGCUACCUCCCUAAGCCGCCUCCCAACCCUGCUCCGUGCCGGACAAACGGGGAGGAAGAUGAGAGGAUUGGCACAAGAGGGGAGCGCGAGUCAAACUGGAAGACGGCGGAGACUUCAGUUGCCAAUCUCCCGCUCCCCCGACUUUUAUCUUUAACGGGGCAGACCUGUUGACACGGCAUCCCCAUGCGCACUUCUGUCUAAAACGGCAGCGGUGCUUCCGCUCUACAUCCAUGCCGGUAAAGCCUUCCCUGCACAUGUGCGAGGAGUAGCACUCAUCUAUCGUGUAUGUAUAUCUUGCUACAAUCUCUGCAAUAGCUCUUUACUAGGUGUAUGGUAUAUUAGCAUUGUAUCAGCUCUCAGUAAGUAUUUGUAUUAUGAGGAUCGAUUUUUAAAAUAGACCAUGUGUUGAUCCCUAUUCAAAUUGUAUUUAAUAUUUAAAGUGUUCGGUAUAUAUAGCCAUGCUCAAAUAGUAUUUCUAUGUUUAUUCUAAGUGCACCAUAUUAGCACUAUGUAAAAAAUUGCUAUUGUUAAUACUUUCAAACAUAGGCCUAACUUGUUUCGUUGUUCAAGCAUCUCCGAUCGCCUUCACCUUGGCCGAGGAUGAUGGCACUCUAUGUUUUUGUGUGUGUGUUAAUGUUAGGUGUGAUAGUGAAGGUGCAUGAUGCCGAUACAUGAAGGCUCUCAUUUACCGUCAAAGCAGCGACAUGAUUAUAUGAAAGGUCUGUGGUUAGAGUCAACCUCUUCUGACUUAGCUGCCCAGUAACCAAACUUUGCCUUCUUGCGGAUAUGAGACAUCCUGGUGUGAUCACCUAUAUAUUGAUAUAUGUUUGCACAACACUGGAAGAAAGGUAUCAACUUGCGGUCUUGGCCGUGGACAAUCUGUUGAACGCAGAGUUGGCAUUGAUGAUCGAGUCGGCUCGAUACGGAGAUUUUUGUCAUUUGUGAUGAUCGAGUUGCUGUUGUUGGAUAGUAAGACCAAUUGAACAUAUAUGGAUAACACAGGCUGUUUGAAUGUUUUUGUUGGAUCACGAGCUGAUGUAAUUUUUAGUAGAACAUAAUUAUUUUUUGUCAAUUUGCUUUGUAUUUUUUUUCAUGGAAGGUUGUAAGCAAAAUAUAUUUUGUGUUCAAUAAGA